AACUAAGUUUGUUAUCGGUAUGAGCUUUCGUGUGCAUGCACACUUCUUCAGAUACACAGGUAUCUGCAGAAUACCUGGGUAUGUGAAGAAAUGCACAUGCACACGAAAGCUCAUACUGAUAACUAACUUAGUUGG
RNAcentral lists this microRNA precursor (135 nucleotides) under Podarcis lilfordi (Lilford's wall lizard). Lineage: Eukaryota; Metazoa; Chordata; Lepidosauria; Squamata; Lacertidae. The record is from RNAcentral.